This 445-nucleotide ribosomal RNA is filed under the name Pseudomonas guariconensis. Its description in RNAcentral is "bacterial SSU rRNA". It matches the Rfam family "Bacterial small subunit ribosomal RNA", at positions 381 to 824 of the family's 1533-position model. Lineage: Bacteria; Pseudomonadati; Pseudomonadota; Gammaproteobacteria; Pseudomonadales; Pseudomonadaceae. The record is from RNAcentral.
ANCUGANNNGCCAUGCCGCGUGUGUGAAGAAGGUCUUCGGAUUGUAAAGCACUUUAAGUUGGGAGGAAGGGCAGUAAGUUAAUACCUUGCUGUUUUGACGUUACCGACAGAAUAAGCACCGGCUAACUCUGUGCCAGCAGCCGCGGUAAUACAGAGGGUGCAAGCGUUAAUCGGAAUUACUGGGCGUAAAGCGCGCGUAGGUGGUUCGUUAAGUUGGAUGUGAAAGCCCCGGGCUCAACCUGGGAACUGCAUCCAAAACUGGCGAGCUAGAGUAUGGUAGAGGGUGGUGGAAUUUCCUGUGUAGCGGUGAAAUGCGUAGAUAUAGGAAGGAACACCAGUGGCGAAGGCGACCACCUGGACUGAUACUGACACUGAGGUGCGAAAGCGUGGGGAGCAAACAGGAUUAGAAACCCUUGUAGUCCAGACCAAGUCUNNGCCUACCGUA